GCUUUGGCGGGCCGUCCUUUUAGGCGUCAGCUCCGGCUGAUCGCGCCCGCCAGAGGACCAAAACUCUUUUAUUAGUGAUGUCUGAGUACUAUAUAAUAGUUAAAACUUUCAACAACGGAUCUCUUGGUUCUGGCAUCGAUGAAGAACGCAGCGAAAUGCGAUAAGUAAUGUGAAUUGCAGAAUUCAGUGAAUCAUCGAAUCUUUGAACGCACAUUGCGCCCACUGGUACUCCGGUGGGCAUGCCUGUUCGAGCGUCAUUAUAACCAAUCAAGCUCUGCUUGGCUUUGGAGCUCGCCUUACCGGCGGUUCCUAAAACCAGUGGCAGUGUCGCCUAGCUCUGAGCGUAGUAAUUCUUCUCGCUAUAGAGUUUAGGUGUCCACCCGCCAGAACCCCCAUUUUUCUUAGGUUGACCUCGGAUCAGGUAGGGAUACCCGCUGAACUUAAGCAUAUCAAUAAGCGGAGGAAAAGAAACCAACAGGGAUUGCCUCAGUAACGGCGAGUGAAGCGGCAACAGCUCAAAUUUGAAAUCUGCCUCUAGGCCGAGUUGUAAUUUGUAGAAGAUGCUUUGGGUGUGGCACCGGUCUAAGUUCCUUGGAACAGGACGUCAUAGAGGGUGAGAAUCCCGUACGUGACUGGCCGCCUUCGCCCGUGUAAAGCUCUUUCGACGAGUCGAGUUGUUUGGGAAUGCAGCUCUAAAUGGGUGGUAUAUUUCAUCUAAAGCUAAAUAUUGGCCAGAGACCGAUAGCGCACAAGUAGAGUGAUCGAAAGAUGAAAAGCACUUUGGAAAGAGAGUUAAACAGUACGUGAAAUUGUUGAAAGGGAAGCGCUUGCAACCAGACUUGCGCGCUGUCGAUCAUCCGAGGUUUUCCCCGGUGCACUCGGCGGUGCUCAGGCCAGCAUCGGUUUCAGUGGUUGGAUAAAGGCCUUGGGAAUGUAGCUCCUUCGGGAGUGUUAUAGCCCUCGGUGCAAUGCAGCCUAUUGGGACCGAGGACCGCGCUUCGGCUAGGAUGCUGGCGUAAUGGUUGUAAGCGACCCGUCUUGAAACACGGACC
This 1052-nucleotide ribosomal RNA is filed under the name uncultured fungus. RNAcentral's name for it is "eukaryotic LSU rRNA". The stretch from base 408 to 1052 matches the Rfam family "Eukaryotic large subunit ribosomal RNA", at positions 1 to 667 of the family's 3401-position model. The record is from RNAcentral. Lineage: Eukaryota; Fungi.